CCGACAGAUCUGCACUCCCAGGCCACGAUAAACGGCCACGAUCAUGCUCCACUUCCUACGACGGAUUUCGCGCAGCUCCAUCACCCCCUGACAGGCCGCAGUAACGGUCGCAACACUGUUCCGCUCCCUACGAUGGAUCUCACGCGGCUCCAUUACUACCUGACAGGCCACGAUAAAUGGCCACGAUCCUGCUCCACCUCCUGCAAUGGAUACCGCACGA
This 220-nucleotide long non-coding RNA is filed under the name Elaeis guineensis (African oil palm). RNAcentral's name for it is "long non-coding RNA (EGUI_LNC068319)". The record is from RNAcentral. Lineage: Eukaryota; Viridiplantae; Streptophyta; Magnoliopsida; Arecales; Arecaceae.